AUGAUAGAAAGAGUACAAUUGAGUAUGUGUUUUACUUGGGCGACACAGCUUUCACUCGGAGCUCAAAGAAGCAAUCAAUCGUAGCACUAUCUAUAAGUGAAGCUAAAUAUGUUGCAGCUACAUCAAGUGUCUACCAUUCGAUUUGGCUUAGAAACUUGUUGAAGACGCUUGGAGUAUCACAAGAAGAACCUACUGAAAUCCACGUUGAUAAAAAAUUGAGAUUGGCAUUGGCAAAGAAUCCAAUAUUCCAUGAUAGAAGCAAGUAAAUUGAUACAAGAUAUCACUUCAUAAGAGAAAGUAUUGCUAAAAAAGAAGUGCAGCUGAAAUAUGUAGCCUCCCAGGAGCAGAUCGUUGACAUUCGCACUAAGCCACUCAGGCAUGAUGUGUUUCGUAAGUUAGGAACUCUACUUGAAGUAGUAAAAUCAAGUUUAAGGGAGGAUGUUGAGUAGUAAACUUAAUUUUUGAACUAAAUUAUAUGGGCUUAAGAAUUUUGCCCAUAGGCCCAAAUUAAUUAAAAAGCCCAACAUGCCUAGUAUUUCUAGAAACAUUAUCUAGAAAAAUCUAUAUAAAUAUAUACUAGAAAAAUCCAUGUAAAUAUCUAAGCAAAAUAUGUGGUGAUAAAUGUGGUAAUGUGUCAAGAAGAAUAUGUGGUCUUAUAAAGUCUAUCUAGAGUAUUCUACGAAAAUAUCUUGUCCAAUGUGUGGUCCAAAAAUCUUACGUAAAUAUAUGGUCUAGAAUUCUCUAGAAAACGUGUGAACUAGAACCUUCAUGUAAACACUAUAAAAAGGGUAGUGCCCUCCAUUUUGUAACAAGCCAAAAAAAGUGUGUAAGUUUUGAAGUUUAGAAAUAUAAGUUUCCUUUUGUUCACUUCCUUCUUCCUAUUAGUGUUGUCUUCCUUAAAAGUCUUAGCCAAUCCAAGUUAGUAAAACCUUCCUUCCUCCAACAAACCAUACGUCGCAGUAACUUCAAAAGCCUCAAUUGUUGCUACAUCAAGCAAUAAGUUUCAUAUAUGCUCUUGUGAUUGUAAAACAUUCUUGAAGUUAAUGUUUAUGAUACCACGAGAGGAGGCAAAAGAGGACUAAAGAUAGCUAUUUUCCCUACCACCAAAAAGUCUGUAAGUACAGCUAUUACAAUUUCUAGAAGUAAGUUCAUCAAGAGGAUAGUUUGGGUGGUGGAAUCUUCCUAUCCAAAUCGCAGUUCUGAGAUUUAUAAGGAAUUUGCAAUUUAAGUACGUAAUACACUUCUCUAUAUUGUUCUUCAUCACAAUAGUAAAAAGAGGCGAGCUGUAAGAAAUCUAUGGGUAUAAAAAUAAAAAUCCACUGAAAUAAUUAAGAUCCCAUGUAAUAAUACAAAGCUCAAAAUUGCUACAAUUAAGAAAUACUCACUGACCGACUUGGUGUUAAUGGUCCAUAAAUCAUCAUUCCGAUUGAUUAUAAAUCUUGAAAAUUCACAGUGAAAAACACGCAUUUGAAGACUAAAUUUUUGGAUAACCAGCAGAGAAUGGAGAAUAAGUUCUUACGGGCCCGUGUAAGUGUGAUGGCGAGGUGCCGACAGGCGGGGAAAGAAGCCGAAUUUUUUGAAACUGGCGUCGAUUGUGACGACGAUAGUUAUGGACGAAAACACUUGAUUUCUUUCUCUCCACUACAACAUCUCUCAAAUAGGAAGCUUCUAGAAACUAAAAGACAGUGCCAGCGGGUGAGGAAGAGAGACACGUACAUACGUGUAAUGGUGAGAACGGCUGGGAGAAGGAAAUUCUCAAUUUUUUUCUCUCUAUCUACUCUAGAAACUAAUGGUAUGACUAAUGCCUCCUUGCCCAACAUACGAAUGGCUCAACCGACUAACAAUGAGCCGCUCUAAAAUUCUUUUGGUGAUUUAGUGGAAACAUCUGGCUUCUGAGCCAGCCAAUGAAUUGUGGCUUGUGAACAGUGUCAUUACAUUGCCUCUUUUAAUUGUAGUUAGAAAUUGGAAGAAGAUAAUCUUGUUUAAUUGAUUGACUAAUCUUUUUGAUUUAGAGCCAGGAUUUGUUCAACGUAGAUGACGCGUAUUUUGUUGACCUGCAACUCGGCGGAGUCCUCAUAUUGCGAGCGGUGGCAACCGAGGAUCAUUGUAGCUCUUUCUCAUCAUCAUCAUCGUCUUCGAUCGGGAAGAACAACGGCGAGUCAAACGGCGAUGGGGAGGAGAUACCUAGUGAAUAUAAAUGAAGGCCAUUGGAUAAGUAUAAUGCUUUGAAGGAAAUUUUUGCCUUUUAAGGUAUAUAUUCUCCUUUUCUUUUUCAGUUAAAAUUUCAUUUUUAAUAAGUUUUAC
This 2304-nucleotide long non-coding RNA is filed under the name Olea europaea subsp. europaea. Lineage: Eukaryota; Viridiplantae; Streptophyta; Magnoliopsida; Lamiales; Oleaceae. The record is from RNAcentral.